Molecule: long non-coding RNA, 380 nt
Filed under: Amborella trichopoda
Lineage: Eukaryota; Viridiplantae; Streptophyta; Magnoliopsida; Amborellales; Amborellaceae
Description: long non-coding RNA (ATRI_LNC000502)
Source: RNAcentral
CCAAAUCGAUGACGAGAAUUGAGAACUCAGAGAUUGUAUAAGUCAAAUAUAGAGAGAGAGAGUGUGUGAGAGAGAGAGAAGAGAGAGAGUACCUCCACGAGAUGGUGCUCGAGAGGUAGAGACGGUGCGCGAGAUGGUGCUCGAGGUGCUAAUCGCCUAUCAAUGGGGAACUUGAGGGACAGGCCUUUGGACAAGGAAGACGAGGGCCGAUGGGAUGAUCUGGGCGAUUAGGUGAGCGAGAGGCAGAGAGGUUGUGCCAGCAGCAGGAAUGGCAGAGAGAGUGAGAGGGGCUUGGCACAGGGAGCGGGAGGCAGGGUGUGCGAGAGGGGCUAUGCACUUAUCAAUGGGCUAAGCAAAAGGCAAAAAACCAAGGAGGAGAG